Molecule: long non-coding RNA, 6021 nt
Organism: Dama dama (fallow deer)
Lineage: Eukaryota; Metazoa; Chordata; Mammalia; Artiodactyla; Cervidae
Exons: 7
Source: RefSeq, a predicted model, not a curated record
UUCCUCAUCCUCUGUACGGAAUGGACACUCCUCCAACAUGGCGUACCCCACGGGGAAUCGCAACUCUGGCGCGGCCACGUUCCCCGCCUGACCACGCUGCCGAUGGGCACUGAAGGCCCCAGAACUUCGACUCCGUAACAUGGCGAUGUUGACUGUUGGUUGACUGCGGCUUCGAACGCGGUUUUGCGCCUGUGCAGAGCCACGCCCCUUCGUGUGUGAACCUCCCACCCAAACCCCGAGAAGGGGCGGUGCUAGGGGUGGUGACCGGAAGCGCCUGCAGUUUUCGGCCGCGGGUUAAUAGUUGUUGUGAAGAGGAUCCCGGUGCUCUGUGUCCGAGCGGUGUGAAGAGAAGGGAGAGAUUAAGUCUUCACUGUGAUAAGGAUUUUAUUCAUUUCUUCUUCCGCUGUCCAUGAUCCAGUUUGAAUUGUUUUGUAUGAAGUGGUUUCUUGGAAUCUCUGCUUAGCCCUUGGGACAGACCCUGUGGUGAAGGCUGCAAGAUCUUCCAUUUCCAGCAUCAGCAGCUGUGGUUAAGUCCACAGGUGCCCACCUGACCUCGGGUUCCUGGAAAGGGCAGAGUUGUCAGCAAGAGAACCUGGGGGUAAAGCCCAGCAGGAAGAUGCCAGGCAAUCGGAGUGCUGCUGGGCCGUCCCUGACCCUGACUACAGGGGGACGUGACAACUCCUGUGAGCUGUUCUUCCAAGGAGAAAGCAUCUUUGAAUUUUAUGGCUUCAGUCACCAUCUGCAGUGAUUUCAGAGCCCAAGAAAUAACGUCUCUCACUGUUUCCAUUGUUUACCCAUCUAUUUGCCAUGAAGUGAUGGGACAGGAUGCCAUGAACUUCAUUUUUUGGAUGAAAAGGACAAACUGAGCUGAGUGUGGAGCACUUCUCAGCCAACUCCAAAUGGGCCUGCCACCCAAGUAAAGCUGCACUGUCACCCACCACCGCUGGAGCAUGCCCCCAAAUUGAGCAGCUGCUGCUAAGUUUUAUGUAAUAAUCUGUUCUAGGUUGAAACAAAUGUAGAUAAGACUAGUGCAUGAUUUUGAACUGCCUCUGGAUCCAUGCCGGGAAAUCUACUUAAACGCCUAUCUUGAAGGUCAUCGUUUCGCCCUUACUAGAAGUCGGACUGAGGUGUGAAGAUGAAGAGAUGCCAUGGAAAGGGACCAAAAUAAAGGGAGACAGCUGAGAAAGGAGGAGGAGGGUUUGGAGAAAGAGAAAGUGACUUUAGUUCUCCCAUUUCCUCUUCCAUUUUCCUACAUCUUCCCAAAUAAUGUAACCUUCUUCCUAGGAUGAUAUUCAACCUGUAAACACAAGUAUGUCCUUUGCUGGAGAUGAAAGUGCAAGUGUUAGUCGACGAGUCGUGUCCACCUCUUUGCAACACCAUGGACCCCAGCCUGCCAGGUUCCUGUGUCCGUGGGAUUCUCCAGGCAAGAAUACUGGAGUGGGUAGCCAUUCCCUUCUCCAGGGGGUCUUCCUGACCCAGGGAUCAAACUCAGGUCUCCUGCGUUGCUAGCAGAUUCUUUACCGUCUGAACCACCAGGGAAACCUGGGCAAGAGGUUCUUCUAAAAACCACCAUAUAUGUUAAUUCAUCCAAAUUAAUGGAAGCAUGCUCAGGCCAAUAUAAGCCUGCAUUUUCCUUUCAAAUGGAUGUCCUUCCAAAUGUCAUAUAGAGCUGUGUUGGCCAUUCAAGAGAGAAGAUCUGCAGGCAAUAUCUGGGCUUCCCAUCUUUCCCACCAUUAAAGCUGAUGGUGGCCCUGAUGGAUUUUUAGGUCCUGUAUUAUGCGUGCUUACUCAAAAAGACAAUCUAGAAUUUGGAGAGUGAGAUCUAUCCAGGUCAUAUUUGAAAAGAGCAAAGUGCUAAGAGGGAGGCAUUUUAUAAUUCACGUUCACUGGUCUGCUCAGUUCAGGAACGUUCAGGCCAUCCCAUCCUUAUCAGCAAACUGAGAAAAUUAAAAGUACAGUCUCCUGAAAGCCCAGGACAUCUUCUCCACAGAUGGAGAAUAGAAACAGAAUGAUUUCAUUACUAAGUAUUAAACCAGGUUGUGAUUGGCAUCAUGGGCAAUCUGGUAAUCAGACUGCAAAAGUAGCAAGAAAUCAACCUUUUAACUGAGCAGAUACAGUCCAGUACCUAAAUGUUGUUAAGAAGAAUGACAACUAGUUGUCCUGCAAGAGGACCUGAGACCACCAUUUUCUCUACAUUCGAUCAUAGUUCAUCCUAAGCUCUGCUGGUAAUGGGAGUGGCAUCUGUGCCAGUUAACUGCCUUUAUCCAAAGGCAAAGUCAGACUUCUCCUCUCUUUUAUGACAAGGAGGUAUCAAGGAAAGAGAAGAAAGCCUUCCUAAGUGAUGAAUGCAAAGAAGUAGAGGGAAACAAUAGAAAGGGAAAAACUAGAGAUGUCUUCAAGAAAAUUAGAGAUACCAAGGGAACAUUUCAUGCAAAAUUGUGCACAGCAAAAGACAGAAAUGGUAUGGACCUAACAGAAGCAGAAGAUAUUAAGAAGGGGUGGCAAGAGUACACAGAAGAACUAUACAAAGCAGAUGUUAAUGACCCAGAUAACCACGAUGGUGUGAUCACUCACCUAGAGCCAGAUAUCCUGGAAAGUGAAGUCAGGUGGGUCUUUGGAAGCAUCAUUAUGAACAAAGCUAGUGGAGGUGAUGGAAUUCCAGCUGAGCUAUUUCAAAUCCUAAAAGAUGAUGCUGUGAAAGUGCUGCAAUCAAUAUGUCAGCAAAUUUGGAAAACUCAGCAGUGGCCACAGGACUGGAAAAGGUCAGUUUUCAUUCCAAUCCCAAAGAAAGGCAAUGCCAAAGAAUGUUCUAACUACCACACAAUUGCACUCAUCUCAAACACGAGCAAAGUAAUGCUCACAAUUCUCCAAGCCAGGCUUCAACAGAACAUGAGCUGAGAACUUGCAGAUGUUCAAGCUGGAUUUAGAAAAGGUAGAGGAACCAGAGAUCAAAUUGCCAACAUGCAUGGAUCAUAAAACAAGCAAGAGAAUUCCAGAAAAACACAUAUUUGUGCUUUAUUGACUAUGCUAAAGCCGUUGGCUGUGUGGAUUGCAACAAACUGCGGAAAGUUCUUUAAGAGAUGGGAAUACCAGACCACCUUACCUGCCUCCUGAGAAAUCUGUAUGCAGGUCAAGAAGCAACUGUUAGAACUGGACAUGAAACAACAGGCUGGUUCAAAAUUGGCAAAGGACACGUGAAGGCUGUAUAUUGUCACCCUGCUUAUUUAACUUCUAUGCAACAUAUGGAAUUCAGAAAGCUGGUAAUGAUGACCCUAUAUGCGAGACAGCAAAAGAGACACAGAUGUAAAGAACAGACUGUUGCACUCUGUGGGUGAAGGUGAGGGUGGGAUGAUUUGAGAGAAUAGCAUUGAUACAUGUAUAUUACCAUAUGUGAACUAGAUCGUCAGUCCAGGUUCGAUGCAUGAGGCAGGGUGCUCAGGGAUGGUGCACUGAGAUGACCCUGAGAGAUGGGAUGGGGAAAGGGGUGGGAGGGAGGGUCAGGAUGGGGAACACAUGUACACCCAUGGCUGAUUCAUGUGAAUGUAUGGCAAAAGCACCAUGAUAUUGUAAAGUAAUUAGCCUCCAAAAAAUAAUUUUAAAACAGAAAUUCCCAUUAGCUAGAUGAUAUCUAAAUAAGAUUAUUUAAAAAACUGCCAAUUCUUGCUUCUACAAUAUAAAACACUUUAAAUAACUUAUUGAAUUAUAUAGUAAUCUGCAUAUUGAGCAUUUCAUAUUAAAUAUCUGUGGUAAUUUUAUAAAAUCAGAAAAAAAACUAUGCAGAGUACAUCAUGGGAAAUGCCUGGCUGGAUGAAGCACAAACUGGAAUCAAGAUUGCCGGGAGAAGCACAAACUGGAAUCAAGAUUGCCGGGAGAAAUAUCAAUAACUUCAGAUGCACAAAUUACACUACCCUUAAGGCAGAAACCAAAGAGAAACUAUAGAGAGCCUCUUGAUGAAUGUAGAAAAGGAGAGUGAAAAAGCUGGCUUCUUGAGCUCUAAAAUCACUGCAGAUGGUGACUGCAGCCACAAAAUUCAAAGGUGCUUGCUCCUUGGAAGAAAAGCUAUGACAAUCCAAGAGAGCAUAUUAAAAAUCAGAGACAGUACUUUGCCCACAAAGGUCUGUCUAGUCAAAGCUAUGGUUUUUCCAGCAGUCAUGUAUGGAUGUGAGAGUUGGACCAUAAAGAGAGCUGAGGGGCAGAGAAUUGAUGCCUUUGAACUGUGGUGUUGGAGAAGCCUCUUGAGAGUCCCUUGGACUGCCAGGAGAUCAAACCAGUCCAUCCUAAAGGAAAUGAGUCCUGAAUAUUCAUUGGAAGGACUGAUGCUGCAGCUGAAGCUCCAAUACUUUGGCCACCUGAUGUGAAUAACUGACUCAUUAGAAAAGACUGUGUUUCUGGGAAAGAUUGAAGGCUGUAGGAGAAGGGGACAACAGAGGAUGAGAUGGUUGGAUGGCAUCACUGACUUGACGGACAUGAGUUUGAGUAAGCCCCGGGAGUUGGUGAUGGACAGGGAAGCCUGGCAUGCUGCAGCCCAUGGGGUCACAAGGAGUCGGACAGGGCUGAGGGACUGAACUGAACUGAACUGAGUUCCAGCUUAGAGCCAGGCAGUGAGGCUAAGCUCCCAGGAUGACAGAGAGACAGAACACUGUCUUCUUUGGUGUUUAUAUUUCAAGGAGAUGUCUCCUAGUCCCAAAAGAAAAUUAUUCCUGGGUUGUUUUGCUGACAGAAGGCUUGUUUACCCUUUUAAGAUUUACAUAUGUAUCCAAGGGGCAGAGGAAGGGUUUACAAAUACCAGUUUUCUCAAGGAAAUAUUCUAAGAAAAGGGAAGGAGGGAAAGGUCUCUUUCUCUUAUAGCCACAGGGAAGAUUCCCUUUUUUUAAAAUGGCUGUGAGUUUUAAAAGGCUGUGAGUUUCCUAAGCCUGAGUCCCCACAGAUGUGACGCAGAUCAUGCUUGACAAAUGCCAGUAUGUGCACUGAGUUGCCUGAACCUGAGCCUGGGCAACCUGCUGCCUAAGAGCAGCCUGGAAACCAGCCUUCAAGUCAUUUGCUGUGAGCACAAACCUGAGACAUGCCAGGGAAACAGCACUCGGGGCCUUGCUUUCCUGUCACACUCAGCAAGAUGUGUAGGAGCACAAGAGCGCCAUGGAGGAGUGUCUUCCAAGUCCAGUGGGACAGAAAAGAAGGCCUAGGCAGUGACACAGCACUCCCAGUGCCGUCAGUCUGUGCUGUGCGUUCGUUUACAGCCACAGACUCUCCGUGGCCAGGGCCACUGGAGCAACAUACAUUCCAUUGGAGGUAAUCCACAGUGAGCCUGCACCCCCUGCUAGUUUUUUCCACUGGCCAUACUGGGCCAUUGUAUUGAUGCUUUACUGUCGUCAUCUACCUGCUGCAUUUUAGUCCUAAUCAAGGCUGUGACUUCUUUGUCCUCCAGGGAUUCUCUGCUGUUUCUUUUCGGACACCUGGGAGAGGAUGAGGGAGAUGCGUUGGGUAGUCAAUUGCAUGCUCUGCUGUCAUUUCUCUGCACGUGGCAGUCCCUGAACCAGAGAAUUCCCUUUGGUCUUUAUCCAGCAUUCCUAGAACAAGCAUGCAAAACACUGUCCCAGUGAAGUAUUAGGUUGUGGAAGCAACAAUGACAGUUCUGUUGACCCUUGAACAAUGUGGGGGUUAGCGGCACCAACCCCCGCUCUGAGUUAAGAAUCCAAGUAUAACUUUAGACUCUUCCAAAACUUCACUACUAAUAGCCUACUGUUGACUGGAACCCUUACGGUUAACAUAAACCGUUGAUUAACAUAUAUUUUUUAUGUUAUAUCCAUUACCUGGGCCCUAGCGGUAAAGAAGCUGACUUCCAGGGCAGGAGACAAGCAAGACAGGUGGGUUUGAUCCUUGGGUGGGGAAGAUCCCCUGGAGGAGGAAGUGGCAAACCACUCCAGUAUUCUAGCCUGGGAAAUCCCGUGGACAGAGGAGCCUGGCAGGCUACAGUCCAUGGGACCACAAAGAGUCAGACACAACUGACAAUGCACACUCACU